ACGAGUUAGGGUCUUCUAGGCCCGACCUCCCAACCCUAUGUUUAUUGAACCUCUGUUGCUUCGGCGGGCCCGUCUCACGGCCGCCGGAGGAGUCGCCGCGAGGCACCCUCUGGCCAGCGCCCGCCGGUAGCCAACCCCCUAAACUCUGAAUAAAUCGUGUCAUGAUGUCUGAGUCUAUGAUUAAAUUAAAGCA
RNAcentral lists this unclassified non-coding RNA (193 nucleotides) under uncultured Cladophialophora. Its description in RNAcentral is "sequence contains ITS1". The record is from RNAcentral. Lineage: Eukaryota; Fungi; Ascomycota; Eurotiomycetes; Chaetothyriales; Herpotrichiellaceae.